Molecule: ribosomal RNA, 455 nt
Filed under: Escherichia coli
Lineage: Bacteria; Pseudomonadati; Pseudomonadota; Gammaproteobacteria; Enterobacterales; Enterobacteriaceae
Description: bacterial SSU rRNA
Rfam family: Bacterial small subunit ribosomal RNA
Source: RNAcentral
AAAUUGAAGAGUUUGAUCAUGGCUCAGAUUGAACGCUGGCGGCAGGCCUAACACAUGCAAGUCGAACGGUAACAGGAAGAAGCUUGCUUCUUUGCUGACGAGUGGCGGACGGGUGAGUAAUGUCUGGGAAACUGCCUGAUGGAGGGGGAUAACUACUGGAAACGGUAGCUAAUACCGCAUAACGUCGCAAGACCAAAGAGGGGGACCUUCGGGCCUCUUGCCAUCGGAUGUGCCCAGAUGGGAUUAGCUAGUAGGUGGGGUAACGGCUCACCUAGGCGACGAUCCCUAGCUGGUCUGAGAGGAUGACCAGCCACACUGGAACUGAGACACGGUCCAGACUCCUACGGGAGGCAGCAGUGGGGAAUAUUGCACAAUGGGCGCAAGCCUGAUGCAGCCAUGCCGCGUGUAUGAAGAAGGCCUUCGGGUUGUAAAGUACUUUCAGCGGGGAGGAAGGG